RNAcentral lists this ribosomal RNA (253 nucleotides) under uncultured bacterium. RNAcentral describes it as "partial 16S ribosomal RNA". It matches the Rfam family "Bacterial small subunit ribosomal RNA", at positions 524 to 776 of the family's 1533-position model. The record is from RNAcentral.
UACGUAGGGUGCGAGCGUUAAUCGGAAUUACUGGGCGUAAAGCGUGCGCAGGCGGUUAUUUAAGUCAGGUGUGAAAGCCCUGGGCUUAACCUAGGAACUGCAUUUGGGACUGCAAGGCUGGAGUACGGCAGAGGGAGGUGGAAUUCCACGUGUAGCAGUGAAAUGCGUAGAGAUGUGGAGGAACACCGAUGGCGAAGGCAGCCUCCUGGGCUAGUACUGACGCUCAUGCACGAAAGCGUGGGGAGCAAACAGG